Molecule: non-coding RNA, 1008 nt
Organism: Xyrichtys novacula (pearly razorfish)
Lineage: Eukaryota; Metazoa; Chordata; Actinopteri; Labriformes; Labridae
Source: the annotation of a GenBank genome assembly
UAGGGUUAGGGUUGGGCUUGGAGCUAGGAUUUUUCUGAGUGCACUGAACCAGCUCCCGAGUCUCUAGGACAUUCCUAAAAAAAUUUGAUUUUUUCCCAUAGGAAUGCAUGGGUUAGGGUUAUGGUUAGGGUUAGGGUUGGAGCUAGGGUUAGGGUUAGGGUUAGGGUUGGAGUUAGGGUUAGUGUUGGAGCUAGGGUUAGGGUUGGGCUUGGAGCUAGGAUUUUUCUGAGUGCACUGAACCAACUCCCGAGUCUCUAGGACAUUCCUAAAAAAUUUGAUUUUUUCCCAUAGGAAUGCAUGGGUUAGGGUUAUGGUUAGGGUUAGGGUUGGAGCUAGGGUUAGGGUUAGGGUUAGGGUUGGAGUUAGGGUUAGUGUUGGAGCUAGGGUUAGGGUUGGGCUUGGAGCUAGGAUUUUUCUGAGUGCACUGAACCAACUCCCGAGUCUCUAGGACAUUCCUAAAAAAAUUUGAUUUUUUCCCAUAGGAAUGCAUGGGUUAGGGUUAGGGUUAGGGUUGGAGCUAGGGUUAGGGUUAGGGUUAGGGUUGGAGUUAGGGUUAGUGUUGGAGCUAGGGUUAGGGUUGGGCUUGGAGCUAGGAUUUUUCUGAGUGCACUGAACCAACUCCCGAGUCUCUAGGACAUUCCUAAAAAAAUUUGAUUUUUUCCCAUAGGAAUGCAUGGGUUAGGGUUAUGGUUAGGGUUAGGGUUGGAGCUAGGGUUAGGGUUAGGGUUAGGGUUGGAGUUAGGGUUAGUGUUGGAGCUAGGGUUAGGGUUGGGCUUGGAGCUAGGAUUUUUCUGAGUGCACUGAACCAACUCCCGAGUCUCUAGGACAUUCCUAAAAAAAUUUGAUUUUUUUCCCAUAGGAAUGCAUGGGUUAGGGUUAUGGUUAGGGUUAGGGUUGGAGCUAGGGUUAGGGUUAGGGUUAGGGUUGGAGUUAGGGUUAGUGUUGGAGCUAGGGUUAGGGUUGGGCUUGGAGCUAGGAUUUUUCUGAGUGCAAUGAACCAACUCCCGA